Xenia sp. Carnegie-2017 is the source of this 1520-nucleotide long non-coding RNA. RefSeq lists it as uncharacterized. The transcript has 12 exons. NCBI's taxonomy places the organism in Eukaryota, Metazoa, Cnidaria, Anthozoa, Malacalcyonacea, Xeniidae. The record is from RefSeq and is a predicted model, not a curated record.
GAUUACAUGGGGAUAUUUAAAGCAGAAGAAGUUACAGAAGCACUUCACUCCAUGAGAAAAAAUAAACUUUUUGAUGAAAAAGGAGUGUUUGGUAGUUGUUGCAGUCGGCAUUCACACCCUAGACGAUUUUUCAGCCCUAAAUAUGUGGAAAGAAUUUCGUAUUCGCUGUUCCUAAUCCAAAGCAUUUUAAAAGAAGCUGACCAAAGUCCUGGUGUUGAUUUAAAAAUAAUGUAUGCUAUUGGAUGUGUAUUAUUAUCACAUUUAAAGGCAAACAAGAGGCAUGACAUUUCGUCAAAAGUGUCAUUUUCGGUGACGAUAUUUCAUUGUUAUGGACACAAGGUUUCAUGGCAGGUCAAAUUCUGUCCUAGAAGGCUCGAUGGUUUUGGUCUAACAGAUGUUGAAGCUAUUAAAAUGCUCUGGGCUUACCUUCGUGGGUUCUCAGCAAUUACUAAGGAGAUGUCUGCCAGUAGAAGGGUCAUCUUUUGACAGAUGCGCUUCUUCACUUAUCUCGAAGAAAUUUUAGCAAUGCAGAACGUAAAGAAACCACUGAGAUCUGGAAAAUGACGUACGUUCAAAAGCUACUGCAUUUUAAACAACUUAGUACUACAUCAUUCGGAUGUUUUGAAGAAAACCUGGAGAAAAUCUCUGAAGAUUACUCAAUUCAUCAGAUGUCGAAAAACUAUACCAAAAGAUGGAAACCUGGUCAUCCUAGUUUUGACGUCGUUGCAUUGCAAGUCAUACAAAGAAAAGGAAAACAUACUGUCGGAGAUUUUCAUGGACUUUCCAUCGAAAGGCAUUUCUUAAUAACAUUGAGAAAGAAGUAUGCAGGCCUUCCCAUGUUUCUUAUUUUGCUCGAGAUUAACUCCACACAGAUGACUAACUUUACCGAUGUUCAAGCUAACGAAACGAUGCUGACGAGAGAGUGCUGUCUGCUUCGGCACCCUUGAUGGCACUGCCGCUGUAAGAGGUUGUCAACUCUGUUUCAUCAAGAUUCCUUAUGUCGCGUAAAAUGCUCAGAUGUUCUAAAAGUGUUGAGAAAUAAAUAUAAGAGUAUAUCUGUUCGAGAAUGUGGGCUCAUUGUACGAAAGUGUUUUCCUAUGGUGAAGCGAAUUCAUAGCAAUCAUGUCUACUUUUAUUCUGGCAUUAGCCACAUCGACGCCAUUGAAUGUGUUAAACAAUGUCAUACGGAAAAUGAUUGCUCAACUGAGAAUAAAAUGCUAUGUGGAUUACCUCAUUGCAUGAGUAUCAAUCGGUCGGAAUUGCUACGUUCCUCAUCAAAGACCCUACAUAUUCAUUCCCAAAUGAAGCCUACAUAUUCAUUCCCAAAUGAAGCCUACAUAUUCAUUCCCAAAAGGAACUGGAGUGUACAUGUCCUUUGAAGGAUUGUGCUACACUCAUGGAAUCACUUUUGCCGAGUGGAUAUCAUUUUUCAUUAAGAUAUGGGAAGGCAUAGAGCUGUUGAAUUCUUGUGGAUUUGCUUAUAGAGGUCUUGGAGUUGAAAACAUUAUUGUUGUGAAAAA